RNAcentral lists this long non-coding RNA (1228 nucleotides) under Anas platyrhynchos platyrhynchos (common mallard). RNAcentral describes it as "lncRNA (ENSAPLG00000023318.1)". Lineage: Eukaryota; Metazoa; Chordata; Aves; Anseriformes; Anatidae. The record is from RNAcentral.
CUUCUUCUCUAUUGCUGUUGCUAUUAAGAGAGAUUUUUGUAGCAUACAAAAGCUCUGAUUGUCCUCUCACUUAUACUAAUUUUGCAAUUGUGUAAAUCCAUUGACCUGAGCAGAGUUAUUUUUGAUUGACACUAAUACAUGCUGGAGGAGAAUCAGGUUUUAAAUAUCUUUGAAGGCAGACAAGCUUGGAAAAAAUAGUCUUAUUUUUAAGCUCCAUAAUUGUGACGAUGUCCUUUUGUGCCAUGCUAUUCAUUUGUUAUUUGAAUUGUAUUUGUCAAACAGUCAUUCAGGUCAACUGGUUAUCUUCAGGCGUUUAUAGCAGCAGAGGGACCCUUCCUCUCUGAAAUCCUUCACUUUCUACUCUGUGAUGGAUCAAUGGGCAAAGCUAAAGGCUCGUCUGAGUUCAGCUUGAAUUGCUGAAGCAGCUUCCUGAAAAUGAUUCGAUGACUGAAUUUUUGAGAACAUUUUCAUAAAAAAAUUUUGGCCCAUUUACUGGCUUGGCUUUGGGCAGGAUUACAGCACAAAUUGCAACACUUCUUUUUCACUCUCAUAUGCGUGACAAGUAAUAAUUUACAAGCCUGUCCAAUGCAGUGGCCUUUCACAUACUUCAGAGGCUGUGGUCUCUAAAGCAACUUGCCAAAGCCCUUGCUAUGUAAAAACUUGUUGAGCAUACAUUCUGUACAUAUAUAUGUGUAUUAUAUAUGCAUUCUGCUUAUUGCAGUGAGUCAGCUUGAAAACCCAAAUGAAAAAAUCAGAUGUUGCACUGAUACAGUGACCUGUACUUUAAAAGGAAUGUCUCAGUCACUCUGUGCUGUUUAAUUUUCAUCUAAACAGUGCACAUUUCUGCUAAUCUCCAAAGUCAGAAGAUUUCUUUUGUAACACAUCAUCCAUUGACAAUAAUAGCUGCUCAUUCCUUGAAAAAUAAUGUGGUUUGUACCUGGUGUGAAACUAUUAGUGAGUUGACUUACUGUAGUUAGAAGAGAUUACUGUAGUUAGAAGAGAUUAUGCUAAAUGUGCCAUCACCCUCUGGAAAAAUACACACGGGGAACAUUUAGUGCUGUAACAGCCCUGCAUUAGCCCAGUUCAACAUGCAAGUAACCAAUAUUAUACACAAAUAUAUAUAUUAUAUAAGUCUGCAAUAACUGUGCAAAUUAGGUGUAUAAUUGCAUCCACGAAUUGUUGGAAAAUCUGGCUCUUAAAUUAUGCUUCAUAAACAAUAAUAACUCAC